UGGAAGUGUACCAAGAUUGUAUCCAUUUUUGGUAAAUCUUGUCAAAAGAUGCUGAAAGAAACAAAAGGCUACCAUGAGUGACCCUCUGAGUACUAAAACUUUGCUACAGAUCCGGUACUUUCUUCAUGAAGGAGCUCCACCAAGAGAGCUGGACUGGUCCUGAGAUGACAUCAACUUGGUAGAUGCCAAGUGCGGAGGAUGGAAGGGGAUAGUCAAAAAAGAGUUCAUGUUUGCUGAAGGUGUGCAGUUCUGAGAACCUUCUCACGACUUGACUUAACGGACAUGAAGGUUUUCGUAGAAGUUUCUUCAGCUUGUUAAGGUGAUUCUCGUAAAUGAACGCA
Molecule: non-coding RNA, 341 nt
Organism: Danio rerio (zebrafish)
Lineage: Eukaryota; Metazoa; Chordata; Actinopteri; Cypriniformes; Danionidae
Source: RefSeq, a predicted model, not a curated record